CUUUUUGAUGCACGGUGGCUGAUGUUUUUGCUGAGGAAAAAAGAGCAGAGACUAGUGCUUAAAACUCUCAAAGAUCCCACAAUUCCUCUUGCUGGCUCUUAAGGCAACUCCGUAGAAAAAUGACACUUCUGUAUGAGUGAUUUAACAGGCGAAGAUCCUGAGGAUAGCUGGAACCCAUUUCGAUGGCUUUUUCAUUCUGGUGCUGCUCCAGUGGAAGGUCGGUUCGCAGUGGAGAAGCCACGCCCCAUCUUUCAAAGUUACAUUUUGAUUAUUUUGUAUGCCAGUGUGAGUGUGUAUGUGAGAUUACAGGAAGAUUUAUGGGAGUCACCUCCUUUCCAGGGUCUGAAGGACCGAACCUUUUUUUUUUUUUUUUCAGAUAUUCUGGGGUCUUUAGACUUGGUGGCAAACAUUACCUGCUGCCACUGAGCCAUCCUGAGGGCCCCAGCAUGCCUGUCUUGUUCUUCCAAUUGGAACAGUCUCAGAGUUAGGUAGUGCACAAAGCCAUUUAAGAAAAAAAGAUACUGACAGAAAACAGAGAGAGAAAGGGUUAAACAAACAAACAAAAAGAUUAGGGAAUGGAGAGAUGAAGAAGCAAUUACGAGCAUCUUCUGCUCUUUCAGAGAACCCAAGGAGGAGUUCCCAGCGCCCACAUCAGGUGGCUCAGAACCACUGUAUUUAACUCCAGCUCCAGGGCAUUCUCUGCCCUCUUCUCGACUCCACAGCCUCCUCCAUUCACAUGUGCUCAUUCACAUAAAACUUAAAAAAAAUAAGUAAUUUCAAAAAUCCAUCUGGAAGUUGGUGGCACAUGCAACCCCAAGAUCAUGAGUGCUGGAGACAGGAAGAAUGCUCUGAUGUAGAAGCCAGCCUGGGCUACAAUGCAGUCUUGAAAAGAAAAGCAAAAGCAUAUCCCCCAGCUCCAGUGCAAAAGUAUCAUAAGUCAGCAGUUGUUGACUGUGUGUGGUAAAAUUACACCAUUUGCUGAUUAAGAAAUUAAGAAUGAUUGCAGAACUAGAAAGUCCCGCUAGUCAAACACACCCACAAUGAGCAAAACCCUUUGCUUAUCAGUGAUUACGUGGUCAUAGGCCACAGUAUGUGGGGAAAAAAUGUUAACUUUUUUGGCAGUUUAUAAAAAAAAAUUACCAGUUUGUUCAGCAGAUUCAAAAUGAUGCUGCUGUGUUCUGGAUUUAAAAAAAAAAAAGUCCACUCUUGCUCAGGUUGCCUAGGUGUCAUUUGGCUCUCACAAAUAAUAAUAAACUGAUUUUGUCUCAAUUAUCUUGCUGCUCCAGGUUACAGUGUGUUUAUAGCCUGGAGUACUUGUAUAAUUAGUUCAAAAUGCCACUGUGUUUUGUGUGUAGAGAUGAAGCAAUAAAAUAUGCCAAGAGGAGACAGAUGAAAUAAAAUGGAUUCAUGGGGGCAGUGGGAAAACGUAGCUUAGGUUGUACAUUUCUUUUUAUGAGAAGCAGCCUACUGCAGUCCCAGCUGGGCACUCACAAAACAUUAGGCAUAAAUGAACAGGAGGGGUGCGACCUGCCAGCCAGCUCCUCUCUGUCACAUGUCCAGAACUGUGCCACUGGCCAGGAGCAUGCGUUGGGCAGCCUGUCAGUAACAACAAUACCAUCUGUCUGUUAAAGAAAACAGGAGUAGUGAUGCCUUUGCCAAAGACAAAUGAGCCCCCUAGCAUGCACACACACUUCCUUAAGUUUCCAUCUUAUCCAUGAUUCAUAUGCCAGAGCCUUCCUGGAAUGCUUGAAAGUAAAAAAAAAAAAAAAAAAAAAAAAAAAAAAAAAAAAGGCUGCCUCUUGACAUGGGGAGUGCACAUCAAAUCACAACACUGGGCUUAUGUUGUUAAAUUUAGAAAGAAAAAAAUCUGAGUAGGGGAUGAAAGAGUAUUUCCAUUUUCUCUGUCUUCUACCUCCGCAUGCAUCACAGGUUUUUCAGGAAAAAUAAUGGCAUGUGAUCAUCAAAACAGAACUCUUACAAGACUGACAGUGGACAUUGUUUAGAAGCUGCCGUACAUGAACUGGUGAGAUCUCAAUGGGUAAACCCACUUGCUGUGCUGAGCCCCAAUGACUAGAGCUAAAUCCCAGGAGCUACAUAAAAAUGGAAAUAAAGACCCAACUCCACCAAGUUGUCUCUGAUGGCCACAAAUGCACUUGACAGACGAAUGGGCACACAUGAGUCUCCUUUUCAAAUGGCAAUAAUUAGUAAUAAUAAGAAAGUAUCACAAUAAAACACUUGCCAUUUUCUAAUAGUAGCAAAACAUCACUAGGUCUCUGUUUAUGGCAUCUUAGAGCUGAUCAAUAAUAUAAAAAGAAACAAUGCCCUGGCACCUGACUUUCUCCCUAUUUUUAACAAAAGUCACAAUCAGAAAGUUAGCUGUUCCACUGAAAGGAAAGAGGGUCCAUUUUUCUGCCCAUUGCCAUCCAGAAACUCAAGGAAGGUGAUGAAAUCAUCCAGAUGCUUUUGUGAGAGACGGAGCUUCAGGGAUAGACAGGAGAAUGGCAACCAACAAGUAGCAGUACAGUUUGCUAAGUGAAAGGCCAAGAUGUGUAAGACAGAUGUGAAACAGCUAUGUGUAAACAGAUGUGAAACAGGUAGCAAUCAGUCCUGAGUCAGGAACACACAAGCAACAAAGGUUGUCCACACAUAGAAAAUAGAAGAAAAUGCCCUGUCCUGUCUAGGUGGAGAAUACCCUUCACUUGGCCAAGUCCAGUCAGUGUGGUUUGAUUAGUUCUUUGUAAAAAUCCUUUGCACUUUGUCAACUAUAGCUUCACUUAAGAGGACUCGCCUGUAAUAUUUUGGUAUUUUUUUUUAAGUCUUCACUCCUAAGUAUGGCUUCAUUUAUUCUCUACUGCCUGCCUGACCUACAAGCACUUACAAUGAGUUCCUAAGAAAGGAAGCGCCUUAGAAUCCACUCUUCCACCUACAUACUCACCACCUCCUCCAUUUUCUCCCAUCUCUGGAAAAAACAGUGCCAUCCACCCAGCUGCCUGGAUCCACAAUGGGAACAUUGCCCUCGGCUCUCUCUUGAUUAGCUUGCUACCCUUCCACUCUGUUAACAAAAGCACUUGUUUCCAUCUCUAAAAGAUGACCUGAAUAUCUCUCUCUCUCUCUCUCUCUCUCUCUCUCUCUCUCUCUCUCUCUCUCUCUCUCGUAUCCCUUUUACAGUAACCAAACAAAGGUCCAUCAUUAUCUCCAGCUAAGACAGUUGCAGUAACUAACUGCCCUUGCCUUCCUUUUACAGAUCAUUUUCUAUUGAGCAUAAUGAUAGUUCAAAUACAUAAAUUAAAUGAUUGUGUAUCCCCUCCUAAAACCAUGCAAGGUUUCUGCAGUCGCCAAAGGACCCAGGACAACCUACAAGGUCCUCCAAGAUUUUUUCCAGCUCUGUCUCUGUGACCUCUUCUUGUUCUAGUAUUCCCACUUGGCUAGUACAGUACCAGUUGUUACAGUGUCACCAACGUGGACUCUGUGCUGUUCACCAUGCUAGACAGUAACUGCAAAGGGAUGUGAAACACUCAACCCACGGCUACCACAGAGGAGCAGAGAGGCUUUAAUUAUUUAAAACAUAGAUUUAUUGGCUUGUGGGUCCAGUCAUGAAGACUGCGUGUUUCAUACUUCAAGCCAUGCUUGUGGUCUUCCAUAGCUGCUAAAGUGAUAGGGACCUUGGGGGUGACACAUUGUCUCAUGCUGGCUUCUUCUGCAUCAUUCCUGGCUUCAGGUGUUUUUUCUUCUUGUUGUUUUGUUUUGUUUUGUUUUUUUGUUUUUUUGAUUUUUGUAUUUUUUUAAGGAAAUGUUGGUUCCCAACAGCCGUGACAAUAAUGUGCCUGACAAAAGCAACUGAGAGGAGGAGGAAUUUGACUCGCAGUUUGUCAUGAUGCAGAAAGUGUGUGUGGAGUGGCCCUAGCUGUGGUGACAGGAGAAUGAGACGACAGCUGGUGAUGUCGAGGCCGUGGUCAUGAAGCUGGGAAAGAGGGAUGCUGAUGCUCAACUAGCUUUUUCCUUUUUUAUUCAGGCUGGGACCCCGGUAUGCUACCACACACACAUGAUGAAUGGGUUUUCCCUCCUCAGUCAAAACCUCCUUGGCAAUAUCCUCACAAGCAUACCAGAGUUAGUCUCCUAGGUGAUCCCAAAUCCAAUCAUGUUGACAGGAAAGAUGACUCUAAGGUUUUCAAAAAGACUUUAUGGUACCCAAUAUGCAUACAGAUUUACAUAUCUAAUAUCACACUGUUCUAUUGUAUUCUUGAUGAUUAUCUCUCUAUAAAAUGGUUUUCUGCUCUCUUGUUUAUUGUUCAUUUGCUCUGGAUUUCCAGAUACCAGACAAGCACAUGUCCUGUGGUCAAAACUCAUUGAAUACUCAACAAGCAAGUGUUUGAUGAAUAAAAAACUCAAUGGAAUUAUGAAAGAAAAAUAAAAUAAAAUAUACCACCACUAUAAUGUUUCAUAUUAAAGACCAACUGGAUAUAUUUACAAAUAAACACACACACACACAUAUAUAUAUAUAUAUAUAUGUGUGUGUGUGUGUGUGUAUGCAUAUGUAUAUCCAACUUAAUUGCUUGCAUGAACAGAUGUCUCUGAGUCUUUCCUUGAAAAUUCUUUUAUGAUGAGUACACUCAUAAGUAAAAUCAUGCAAGCAGCACUUCACAGAGCGCUGCUUUAAAAAAUAUGUAUUGCUAUCUUAAGUUACUCAUCUCUUAGGAAAGUAAACACUAGCCAGAGAUUUUAAAACUUAUAUAUUAAAUGCUUGAUGAAAUGUCCAUAGUCACUUUAUUAUAGGCACAGGAGUGGGGAAUGAAAUAUAAGCAUAUACCUUUAAGUAGCCAAUGAACUAGGAAAUUCAGAAUUAUAUGUCUAAAUAUAAGUGACUAAAAGGUCAUAUUUCACAUUGUUUUCUAUGACACAGUCUCUAAUCACUGUUGUAAGAACAGAAUUAUACUAACAAACAUAACCAUUUUGUUAAGAUUGACUUUACUGGUAUACUUCCAGAGUCAGAGAGAAAACACAGAAUGCUUGCAUCUGGGGAUUCACUGUUGGCACUGGCUUUCCAUGCAGUACUGGUCCUUCUUCUUACAUUACUUACAAUUUACUUACAAUUCCAAACAUUGUAAGUAAUGCCAUUAUGUGUGCAACUAGGGACAAGAUCAAAAGUUAAAGCAGGGAUGUGAGAGUUACUGUAGACCUACAGCCAUGAUGAAUGGAAGCAUCCCAUGACAGGGCCCACCACUGGGCAGGCCAAACCUGUGGACUAAUGUUCUUGUGGAUUGUCUUGUUAAAGAGACACGUGCAGUGGGCUCAGGGCUCCCCAGGUUUAACAACUUCAUGGAACAUGAAGCAUGUUAUAAUAUUUUAAGUGACUAUAACCUUGUUACUUUAUUGUCUUCUGACAAAGUCAGCUUAGACAUUUGGCCCUUCUCUUCUUCCCUACUUCCAGUUCAAAACGCUUCUUUCCUUUAACAGCAAGUCUCAUAGGGCUGCAAAGAACUUCAACAGACUCGGCAAUAAGACCAAUAUCCUUAGCACCUCUUUCCUCUGGACUUGCAAGUAUUGUAAUUCCCAAAGCACUGAAUUCUUGUGUAAUAAUAUAAAUAGUAUGUAUGUUGUUAUAGUCUCCAAAAUAAUGAUAAAUUGUUUGGUUUUGUGAACUCAGCUUGCUUUUGACUUACUAUUGCCCUAACUAAUAAAAAAAAGGUAGUAAAUCAUGUAAGUAUUGGUAAGGGCUUUGAAAGUGUUUAUACUGCUAGUUUAAACAAAUGUAUUAAACUGUAUCCAUCCUCUUCUGCCUUAGUAACAGUCACAGGACAAAUUUGACCAAAUCUGGAUCUCACAAUUGAGACUCUUGCUGAAUCUCAGACCCACCAUGAAUAGACAUUUUCAGUGUAAGUAUGAGUGAAUGGUGGUAUCAGGAUAGAUUUCAGCUUGACUGACCUGAUUUCUACCCAGUAAUAAGUAAUUUUAAAAUUAUUUCAUUUCUAAAGGUAAGCAACAUACAGGCAAAGGCCUGAUUUAAAAGAACUUGGUCUUCGCUCUUCCUCCUUGAGUCUAUUAAUUUUGAACAUCUCUUCACCUAUACUAUGCCAUAAUAGGAUGUUCAAACUUAACAAAGGUUUUCCUUUUCUCAGCUAGAACAUAUUUAUUUAGACAAACGUGUGGGUUAAACUUACCUUUAACUGCCUUCUUUUUUGUCUUUCAACAAUACUGAAUUGAAAAGGAGUUUUACGUCAUCUGAGAGAAUUCCAAUGACAGUCACACUGUUAUUUUUUGCAAGUGGCAGUAGGAUGCAAACAUAUAUAUUAUCAGGGGCAUGGAGACAUCUUUGAUCUGUAAAUUCUCUCCGUGUUCCUGAAAGUUAAUGGCUGCUUUGAACUAACUUCUCAUUUAGAAGGAAAUUCUAAAAGGCAGGGAAAUGUGUAUAAUUAAGCAAUGGAUGGAAGGGGAGGGAGAAAGAAAGAACACAGACAAUUUGCACACUGAAUAUGUUCUCUGAGUGGUCCAUCUCCUACUGAUCACUUCCUUCACAGCACUCUAAGGAGAGAGCAUAUUCAAAAUUAGAAGGAAAUUAUAGAGUAGAUGCCAAAGUCAUUCAUAAAAAGAACAUAUUUCAGAAUUCUAUAAACAUCUCAGUAUAACGUCCAUAUUGUGCUUGGCAGCCUUAAAAGUAAUUUUGUACUUCUAGUCCUAAUUAAUUCUCACGAAGGAUGUGAUGUCAAUGACAAGUUUAUUAUCAUCUUUAUUUCACAGAAAACAAAAUGAAGAUACAGGGGGAAUUGAGAUUCCCUUAAGCUGGUAAAGCAGCAAAGAUGCAAGAACUCAAAUCUGAUUUUUUCUCUCAGACUGAUCAUUAACUCAUAUAAUAGACCCCCAAUAUUCUCCUCAUCUACAGGAGGUCAUCUGCCUCUCCACCCAUAUCUGCCCUAGCAUCUAAGAGGUACAGCAUCACUUUCUGCUUUCUCCUAACCAAAGGCCUUAAGCAUGAAUAUUCCCAAAGGUGAGAAAUCUCACUACUUUUGUUUUCUCUUUCUUUUAAAGUGUACAUCCACCCAUCACUAUGUUUUAUGUAUACUGGGUGAAUACAGUUACCUAUGGAGGCCAGAAGAGAACACUGGAUACUCUGGAACUGAAGUUACAGUUUGUUUGGAGUUUCUGUGUGGGUGCUGAGUACCAAACCCAGAUCCUCUGCAAGAGCACUAAAUGUGUCCCAUCUCUGAAGUCCCUACUUUUUUUUUUUCUUUCCUUAAUCAGGGCUGGCAAAAUAGCUCAGUCAGUAAAGGUACUUGUUACACAAGUCUGAAGACCUGAAUUAAAUUCUUGAUUGCCACUUGAGUGAAAGAGAGAACCAAUUUACACAUAUUUCUCUGACUGCCACGUGAGCCAUCUGGUGCAUCUGCAUGCGUACACACACACAAACAUGUACAAACACACACACACACACAGAUAGAACUUAUACAUUGUGUACUUCACACCGGUGUAGCAUACAGUAUUAUGUUGAUGACAUAGUCACAACAUCAAGAGUCCAUUACUUGCCGAACUUUGGGUCACCUCUGCUAAAACAAACACUAGCAAACACUACACACCUCCCCAGAUCCUGUCAAUCACUAAUCUGAUUUCCAACUCUAUAGAUUUAAUUACUAGGAUAUUUAUACUUGGCCUUUCAUAUCUGACUUCUUUCCCUUAGUGCACUUCCAAGAUUCCUCCAUAUUGCAGCAUAUGUUAAUAUUUAUCCUUUUUAUGGAUGAAAAAAACCCUCCCAUUGAACCAACACAAUACCAUAAGGGUACUUUAUACUCUUGGUACAGACCACUCAGCAUAAGGGGCUUAAAAUCCUUUCUACUCAUUUGGCUUGCAUUUUCUUUUCUCUAUUUGACAAAGUCUACUUAAUACUUAUUGUUUCCCUCUCUUGCAUGAAUCUUCAUUAUCAUAAGAACCCAUUGCCAAAUCCAGGCCAUGAAAAUGUAUCGUGUUUCCUCCUAAUUGUUUUGUAUUUUUAGUUCUGAUGCUUGGGUCUUUGGUUCACUUAGAGUUUUUAAUUUCAGAUGUGUGUGAAUGUGUGUGUGUGUGUGCAGGUUGCACACCCACGUGGGAGACAUCGUGGUGGCUUCUCCAAUCCCGUCCCCACUUUACUUUGUGAGACAAGGUCUCCAUUGACUCUGCUGUUCACCUCGUGGCUAGUCUGGGUUGCCUAGAAGCACCAAGAACCGACAGCGCCCAUCCCUAGACCCCACACUGGUGUUACAGACAUGUGCCCCCACAUUUGACUUCUGUGUGGUCCUUCUGCAAAUGCAGAAAACACUUUAUGUACUGAGCCAUCCCCCAAGUAGUGAGUUAACUCUUGCUGAUGGUGUGAGAUGACCAAUCUAGUUCUGCUUGUCUUCAUGUGAAUGUCUCGCUGUCUCAACCAUAGUGAAAGACAAUUUUUCCUUAGUGCUUUGGAGUACAUCUGCCUCAAAUGUUUAUGGGAACUAGAGUGCUGGUAACAUUAGGAAGCUUCCCUCUCUCGGAGGUAAACUAGCCUCACCUCAAAUAUGCUUCGUAGUCUCACAUCUGGACUGAAGAAAGUCCUAAUUCCACUUAAGAGCGUGCCCCCAUGAAGUUUCUAUGGAACUGAUGAGGGAUUUCCCUCUGUAUGCUGUGAUUACCAUUGAUUAAUAAAGACAUUGCUUUGGCCCUAUAGCAAGGCAGAACUGAAGCUUUGCUGGUAGGCCAUGACCUCGUGGUGGUGCACAGAUUCAUGGAGAUGGGUUAAAUUAAUAUGUAAGAGUUAGCCAAUAAGAAGCUAGAGCUAAUAGGCCAAGCAGUGUUUUAAACAAUAUAGUUUCUGUGUGAUUAUUUUGGGGCUGAGCAGCUGGGAACAAACAACCAGCUCUUUCUCCAACAACAAAUUGGUGCCAAUGUUACCAACUAAAAUCCACUUAAAACCUGAGAAAACUUAAAAAGGAAUCAUAGACACAAAAGAACAGAGUUAAGCAUGGUUUGGUAGCGACAUUUUCUUGGGUGGGCUCUGUUUGCUAGAAGCAAGCAGAGGCAUGGCUCCUUUAAAAUAUGUUUUCUGGAUUCAGCGAUAGCAGGAAGAAAGCCAUUUGGCUUUGAAAUGAUGGCUUUCUGGGCCUUGCUGCCAGCGUGACUUCUGACUCUUUCAGGAGGCUGAGCAUUUAAAUAGGGUUUGUAAACAGCCUGUUACAAACUGUUUAAUGGUUCAUCAUAGACCCCCUGCAUACUCAGAACUGGGGCGGUGUGCAUGUCUCAGAGGCAGUGAACAAACCUCCUCCACCACGUUGGACGGGACAGAGUAAGAAAGCAGUGCUGUACUUUCCUUAGCAAUGGUGCUGCUUAAGUUCAUAGGAAGGGCUUAGCAUUUUAAGAAGCAGUCCUGGGCAGAAAAUAAUUAUAAAUAUACAAUAGAGACAAAUUCAGACAUAAAAGACCUCUAAAUGAGUCACAGUAUUGGAUAAAUGUAUGUAUGCAUAAGAGAGAAAAGAAAAAAUAUAUAGAUCGUUAUAAAAAGAAGUAAGUGGUUUAGAAAAAAAAAGGUAAAGUCUUUGAAGAGACAGAAUACAGCCAGUCAUAGAUCAAAGGAGUAAAGAUAAUAAAUAGUAAGAAGUAAUAGAGUAAAAACAAAUAAGCCACAUAAAGAUGGAAAAUACACAGAGAGUCUGGAUUAUGUAUAGUAUUGAUGCUUCUUUGAAUUUUUUGACUAUAAAGAACCUAAGUACAGAGAGACAUUUCAUUGUACAGGCUGCUAAGCUAAACCAACAUAAAGGUAUCUUGACUUUAAAAUUUGAGUCUAAGGAUAUGUUGCUUUGGAAAAGAGGUUCUUCUUUUGUUUCCACAGAGGAUUCAUUCCAGGCUAAUGUGUAUUGAUGCACCAAAACCCCCUGAAAAAUCACUGUGAACACCCCCCAAAAAACAACUUUGCCCAUCUUCUGACUGAGAUGAACCUAACACAUAGGAUACACCAUAAAAGACCUGAUUAGCAGUGCCCACAGUCAGCAGGAAGCAGUUUGGAGAGAACUAUGUCCAUUUUCUCAAAUACUGUUUGCAAAUAUUUCUUUACAUUUAAAGGGGAUAUGCUAUAGAGAUUUGCAUUGAUAUGUAUCUUGGUUUAUUGAUACAAAUUUAAGGUCAAUUGUGUUAUAUGUAUAUUUCUGCUCUUGAUUGUGUUUGUACAGCUCACUUAAAAAUGUAAUGUAUAAUUAAGAAAUAUAGAUUAAUAGAUAAUCAUCUAUAAUAGUCAAGCUUGUAAUCUUGUUAGUUAGAAUUUCUGGAUAUAUAGAGAUAUAUUUCAGAUAGAUAGGUAUUCUUCAAAUUUUUCAGAGACCUUCAGAAUAUGGAAUUUAAAAUGUUUUAAGAUGCUAGGACUUUUCAUGACAAUGAGACACAUCUACUCCUGGCAGCACCAACUACUUCAAGAGGAAGAUGAACACCGAAGAGGCUCCUUAUGGAGUUGGUUAGCCAUUUGGGUAAGAAACUGCUCUUGACUGAACUGCUUGAUAUUAUGCUGUGUGAACUGGAGAUGCAGGAUCCACAGAGAAAUGGAUCUCUGAACUUGCCUUAAGGUGAGAUGAUCCGUCGGGGUUCCUGCUUCAUGAAAGUGUCUGUCAGGCAUUCUGCAGGACACAGAAGAAAGUGACUGACAAGCUGCCAAAAUAAGCAAAACUGUCUUUGUAAUUUCCUGCUUCAUGGAAAAGUCUGCUGGAUACUAUGGGCCUUUAGCCUAAAGACGAUGCCCCAAAUGGUACAGAAGAACUUUGGGUGACUGUCCCAGCAGUGAUAUGUCUCUGUCAAUUUUAAAGUUUUGGAAGUUGCUUACAAUGCACUUCCUGCUUACUUAGGUAAUAUUGUAUCCUUCUGGUGUCUUUGUUGGAGUUGAAGAAUAGAUGUUAUUAUUAGAGUUUUCCUUAGUUAUAAUAAAAGAUAAAGUAGAUAUAAAUAUUGUAACUGUAAUUCUUGCUUGAUACCUGUUUUGUUACAUGUAAUUUUACUAUGUUAAAGUUAAAACCUUCCUUUUUAUUUAAACAGAAAAGGGAGGUGAUGUGGGAUUUCCCUCUGUAUGCUGUAAUUACCAUUGAAUAAUAAAGAAACUGCUUUGGACCUUUAGCAAGGCAGAACUUAGCUAGGCAGGGAAAAAGAAGGGUGGAGUCAGGGAGGAGUUAUGGAGCCCUACCGGAGACAGACACACUGAUGCACAGAUUAACAGAAAUGGGUUAAAUUAAUAUAUAAAAGUUAGAAAAUAAGAAGCUAUAGCUAAUGGUCCAAGCAGUGUUUUAAAUAAUA
Long non-coding RNA from Alexandromys fortis (reed vole), 11265 nucleotides. RefSeq lists it as uncharacterized. NCBI's taxonomy places the organism in Eukaryota, Metazoa, Chordata, Mammalia, Rodentia, Cricetidae. The transcript is spliced from 2 exons. The record is from RefSeq and is a predicted model, not a curated record.